RNAcentral lists this ribosomal RNA (253 nucleotides) under uncultured bacterium. RNAcentral describes it as "partial 16S ribosomal RNA". It matches the Rfam family "Bacterial small subunit ribosomal RNA", at positions 524 to 776 of the family's 1533-position model. The record is from RNAcentral.
UAUGUAGGGUGCGAGCGUUAAUCGGAAUUACUGGGCGUAAAGCGUGCGCAGGCGGUUUUGUAAGCCAGAUGUGAAAUCCCCGGGCUUAACCUGGGAAUGGCAUUUGGGACUGCAAGGCUCGAGUGCGGCAGAGGAGACUGGAAUUCCUGGUGUAGCAGUGAAAUGCGUAGAUAUCAGGAGGAACACCGAUGGCGAAGGCAGGUCUCUGGGCUGACACUGACGCUCAUGCACGAAAGCGUGGGGAGCAAACAGG